CUUUCCAGAGCCUACGAUUUUCUUCUUCCCCUCUUCUGAUUCAUUCCCUCACGAGAAAGCUUUGCUUCGUGCACCGCAGCAUAAGAGGGAUCAAAUAGCAUCCGCGUGCAUGACAGAGUUCCAUAGAGUGCAUUUCAGGGCUCCAUGAUGAAAUCGCAAAGACGAACUCAUGUCGGAAGAGAAAAUGUUGGUCUGUGGGUUUUCGUGACGGCUUUUAGCACGAAGAUUAAGAAAGGAAUAAGGGAAUAUGAAGAAGAGGUGGGAUCGAAGAAUGGUUGGUUUUGACGAGGGGCUUGUUUAUGGUGGUUUACAUGAGGUGACGGGCUUGAAACGAUCGUGUGAAAAUUCAUCAUAGGAUUACUCCGUC
Molecule: long non-coding RNA, 367 nt
Organism: Phalaenopsis equestris
Lineage: Eukaryota; Viridiplantae; Streptophyta; Magnoliopsida; Asparagales; Orchidaceae
Exons: 3
Source: RefSeq, a predicted model, not a curated record